Molecule: ribosomal RNA, 1372 nt
Filed under: uncultured bacterium
Lineage: Bacteria
Description: bacterial SSU rRNA
Rfam family: Bacterial small subunit ribosomal RNA
Source: RNAcentral
GAUGAACGCUGGCGGCGUGCCUAAUACAUGCAAGUCGAGCGAACGGACGAGAAGCUUGCUUCUCUGAUGUUAGCGGCGGACGGGUGAGUAACACGUGGAUAACCUACCUAUAAGACUGGGAUAACUUCGGGAAACCGGAGCUAAUACCGGAUAAUAUUUUGAACCGCAUGGUUCAAAAGUGAAAGACGGUCUUGCUGUCACUUAUAGAUGGAUCCGCGCUGCAUUAGCUAGUUGGUAAGGUAACGGCUUACCAAGGCAACGAUGCAUAGCCGACCUGAGAGGGUGAUCGGCCACACUGGAACUGAGACACGGUCCAGACUCCUACGGGAGGCAGCAGUAGGGAAUCUUCCGCAAUGGGCGAAAGCCUGACGGAGCAACGCCGCGUGAGUGAUGAAGGUCUUCGGAUCGUAAAACUUUGUUAUUAGGGAAGAACAUAUGUGUAAGUAACUGUGCACAUCUUGACGGUACCUAAUCAGAAAGCCACGGCUAACUACGUGCCAGCAGCCGCGGUAAUACGUAGGUGGCAAGCGUUAUCCGGAAUUAUUGGGCGUAAAGCGCGCGUAGGCGGUUUUUUAAGUCUGAUGUGAAAGCCCACGGCUCAACCGUGGAGGGUCAUUGGAAACUGGAAAACUUGAGUGCAGAAGAGGAAAGUGGAAUUCCAUGUGUAGCGGUGAAAUGCGCAGAGAUAUGGAGGAACACCAGUGGCGAAGGCGACUUUCUGGUCUGUAACUGACGUUGAUGUGCGAAAGCGUGGGGAUCAAACAGGAUUAGAUACCCUGGUAGUCCACGCCGUAAACGAUGAGUGCUAAGUGUUAGGGGGUUUCCGCCCCUUAGUGCUGCAGCUAACGCAUUAAGCACUCCGCCUGGGGAGUACGACCGCAAGGUUGAAGCUCAAAGGAAUUGACGGGGACCCGCACAAGCGGUGGAGCAUGUGGUUUAAUUCGAAGCAACGCGAAGAACCUUACCAAAUCUUGACAUCCUUUGACAACUCUAGAGAUAGAGCUUUCCCCUUCGGGGGACAAAGUGACAGGUGGUGCAUGGUUGUCGUCAGCUCGUGUCGUGAGAUGUUGGGUUAAGUCCCGCAACGAGCGCAACCCUUAAGCUUAGUUGCCAUCAUUAAGUUGGGCACUCUAAGUUGACUGCCGGUGACAAACCGGAGGAAGGUGGGGAUGACGUCAAAUCAUCAUGCCCCUUAUGAUUUGGGCUACACACGUGCUACAAUGGACAAUACAAAGGGCAGCGAAACCGCGAGGUCAAGCAAAUCCCAUAAAGUUGUUCUCAGUUCGGAUUGUAGUCUGCAACUCGACUACAUGAAGCUGGAAUCGCUAGUAAUCGUAGAUCAGCAUGCUACGGUGAAUACGUUCCCGGGUCU